GACGAACGCUGGCGGCGUGCCUAAUACAUGCAAGUAGAACGCUGAAGGAGGAGCUUGCUCUUCUGGAUGAGUUGCGAACGGGUGAGUAACGCGUAGGUAACCUGCCUGGUAGUGGGGGAUAACUAUUGGAAACGAUAGCUAAUACCGCAUAAUAACAGUUGUUGCAUGACAACUGUUUGAAAGGUGCAAUCGCAUCACUACCAGAUGGACCUGCGUUGUAUUAGCUAGUUGGUGGGGUAACGGCUCACCAAGGCGACGAUACAUAGCCGACCUGAGAGGGUGAUCGGCCACACUGGGACUGAGACACGGCCCAGACUCCUACGGGAGGCAGCAGUAGGGAAUCUUCGGCAAUGGACGAAAGUCUGACCGAGCAACGCCGCGUGAGUGAAGAAGGUUUUCGGAUCGUAAAGCUCUGUUGUAAGAGAAGAACGAGUGUGAGAGUGGAAAGUUCACACUGUGACGGAAUCUUACCAGAAAGGGACGGCUAACUACGUGC
This 496-nucleotide ribosomal RNA is filed under the name uncultured Streptococcus sp. RNAcentral describes it as "bacterial SSU rRNA". It matches the Rfam family "Bacterial small subunit ribosomal RNA", at positions 28 to 508 of the family's 1533-position model. Lineage: Bacteria; Bacillati; Bacillota; Bacilli; Lactobacillales; Streptococcaceae. The record is from RNAcentral.